GCGGGGAUAUCCGAGUUUGGUCUAAGGAGCAGGGCUUAGGACCCUGUGGCGCAGGCCUUCGUGGGUUCAAGUCCCACUCCCCGCACCA
Molecule: transfer RNA, 88 nt
Filed under: Candidatus Bathyarchaeota archaeon RBG_16_48_13
Lineage: Archaea; Thermoproteati; Candidatus Bathyarchaeota
Also listed under: 1 other name
Description: tRNA-Leu
Rfam family: tRNA
About the family: Transfer RNA (tRNA) molecules are approximately 80 nucleotides in length. Their secondary structure includes four short double-helical elements and three loops (D, anti-codon, and T loops).
Source: RNAcentral